UACAGAGGGUGCAAGCGUUAAUCGGAAUUACUGGGCGUAAAGCGCGCGUAGGUGGUUUGUUAAGUUGGAUGUGAAAUCCCCGGGCUCAACCUGGGAACUGCAUUCAAAACUGACAAGCUAGAGUAUGGUAGAGGGUGGUGGAAUUUCCUGUGUAGCGGUGAAAUGCGUAGAUAUAGGAAGGAACACCAGUGGCGAAGGCGACCACCUGGACUGAUACUGACACUGAGGUACGAAAGCGUGGGGAGCAAACAGG
RNAcentral lists this ribosomal RNA (253 nucleotides) under uncultured bacterium. RNAcentral's name for it is "partial 16S ribosomal RNA". It matches the Rfam family "Bacterial small subunit ribosomal RNA", at positions 524 to 776 of the family's 1533-position model. The record is from RNAcentral.